UACACUGAUGAAUAAUUAUAACUACAACGAAUUUCUUCACCUGAAUACCCGUGUAGAACAAAAAUAAUUUCAGAGCUUUUUAACACUGACU
This 91-nucleotide small nucleolar RNA is filed under the name Suhomyces tanzawaensis NRRL Y-17324. The record is from RNAcentral. Lineage: Eukaryota; Fungi; Ascomycota; Pichiomycetes; Serinales; Debaryomycetaceae.